Molecule: ribosomal RNA, 509 nt
Filed under: uncultured bacterium
Lineage: Bacteria
Description: bacterial SSU rRNA
Rfam family: Bacterial small subunit ribosomal RNA
Source: RNAcentral
GGGUGACAAAAAAAAAAGGACAAGAGAUAAACCCUUAUAUUCGAAUAACACGAAAACAGGUGGUGCAUGGCUGUCGUCAGCUCGUGUCGUGAGAUGUUGGGUUAAGUCCCGCAACGAACGCAACCCCUAUAUUCUGUUGCCAACAGGUAAAGCUGGGAACUCAGGAUAGACUGCCGCGGAGAACGCGGAGGAAGGCGGGGAUGACGUCAAGUCAUCAUGCCCCAUAUGACCUGGGCUACACACGUACUACAAUGGGAUGUACAGAGGGCAGCGAAAGAGCGAUCUGGAGCGAACCCCAGAAAACAUCUCCCAGUUCGGAUUGCAGGCUGAAACCCGCCUGCAUGAAGAUGGAAUCGCUAGUAAUCGCAGGUCAGCAUACUGCGGUGAAUACGUUCCCGGGCCUUGUACACACCGCCCGUCACACCACGGAAGUCAUCCACACCCGAAGCCGGAGGAGAUCCGUCGAAGGUGGGGGCGUUGGCUGGGGUGAAGUCGUAACAAGGUAGCCG